This 490-nucleotide ribosomal RNA is filed under the name uncultured bacterium. Its description in RNAcentral is "partial 16S ribosomal RNA". It matches the Rfam family "Bacterial small subunit ribosomal RNA", at positions 30 to 507 of the family's 1533-position model. The record is from RNAcentral.
AUUGAACGCUGGCGGCAGGCCUAACACAUGCCAGUCGAACGGUAACAGGAAGAAGCUUGCUUCUUUGCUGACGAGUGGCGGACGGGUGAGUAAUGUCUGGGAAACUGCCUGAUGGAGGGGGAUAACUACUGGAAACGGUAGCUAAUACCGCAUAACGUCGCAAGACCAAAGAGGGGGGCCUUCGGGCCUCUUGCCAUCGGAUGUGCCCAGAUGGGAUUAGCUAGUAGGUGGGGUAACGGCUCACCUAGGCGACGAUCCCUAGCUGGUCUGAGAGGAUGACCAGCCACACUGGAACUGAGACACGGUCCAGACUCCUACGGGAGGCAGCAGUGGGGAAUAUUGCACAAUGGGCGCAAGCCUGAUGCAGCCAUGCCGCGUGUAUGAAGAAGGCCUUCGGGUUGUAAAGUACUUUCAGCGGGGAGGAAGGGAGUAAAGUUAAUACCUUUGCUCAUUGACGUUACCCGCAGAAGAAGCACCGGCUAACUCCGUG